UCUCAAAAGAUAUGGAUGGUCUGAUCUCUAAAAUAACCCUAAUGGUUGAGCUCCGUGUCCCUUUACUUUUCCCUCGAGGGACCGUUGGUCUCUCAUCUUUCUCGUCGUUUCCGCUUGUCCUCGAAUCCAUGGCGAUCAAAAACCCUAGCGCUAGAUAGUUUAACCCAGAUCCAAUGCCAUCUCCUUCUAUUCCUUUCCUUCCCACUAACCCUGACCUUAUUGCCCAACCCAAAUCUUGAUUGUCCACCAAAUCUCUGGGCUCUGGCCACUCCGCAAUAGAGGAGGCGCUGCUCUUGGAUGCUCUGGCCCUAUUUUUUGAUCUUCCAUUCCUUUCAUAUGAAGCUUUAGCUACUGUUUAUAUGCACUAUAGGGGAAAAAGUUGCUUCCUUUUCAGCAAUGACAACAAUGAUCCCAAAGCAAAGCCAUUAUGAUUCUUGUUACUGGGGCAAUCACCAAAUUUUCUUCCUGUUUGAAGCUCAUCUCUCUUGUGAUAGUUUCCUUUUAAAUCCUUUUGAGGUAUCUUACAGAAUUCUUCUGGAGUUUCACUUUAAUCCCCUCCAGCACCAUAUUGUACAGAAAUUUCUAUAUUCUUUAAGCUUUCUUUUUUUUGAAGUCUGCAUUUUGUUAUGCCAAUAAUUUCUUUAUUUUUUUCU
This is a non-coding RNA of Phoenix dactylifera (date palm), 653 nucleotides long. Lineage: Eukaryota; Viridiplantae; Streptophyta; Magnoliopsida; Arecales; Arecaceae. The record is from RefSeq and is a predicted model, not a curated record.